UACAGAGGGGGCAAGCGUUGUUCGGAAUUACUGGGCGUAAAGGGCGCGUAGGCGGCCUGUUAAGUCGAACGUGAAAUCCCCGGGCUCAACCCGGGAACUGCGUCCGAUACUGGCAGGCUUGAAUCCGGGAGAGGGAUGCGGAAUUCCAGGUGUAGCGGUGAAAUGCGUAGAUAUCAGGAGGAACACCGGUGGCGAAGGCGGGUCUCUGGGCAACAACUGACGCUGAGGAGCGAAAGCGUGGGGAGCGAACAGG
This 253-nucleotide ribosomal RNA is filed under the name uncultured bacterium. Its description in RNAcentral is "partial 16S ribosomal RNA". It matches the Rfam family "Bacterial small subunit ribosomal RNA", at positions 524 to 776 of the family's 1533-position model. The record is from RNAcentral.